RNAcentral lists this ribosomal RNA (253 nucleotides) under uncultured bacterium. RNAcentral describes it as "partial 16S ribosomal RNA". It matches the Rfam family "Bacterial small subunit ribosomal RNA", at positions 524 to 776 of the family's 1533-position model. The record is from RNAcentral.
UACAGAGGGUGCAAGCGUUAAUCGGAAUUACUGGGCGUAAAGCGCGUGUAGGUGGUUUGUUAAGUUGAAUGUGAAAUCCCCGGGCUCAACCUGGGAACUGCAUCCAAAACUGGCAAGCUAGAGUAGGGCAGAGGGUGGUGGAAUUUCCUGUGUAGCGGUGAAAUGCGUAGAUAUAGGAAGGAACACCAGUGGCGAAGGCGACCACCUGGGCUCAUACUGACACUGAGGUGCGAAAGCGUGGGGAGCAAACAGG